CCUACGGGGGGCUGCAGUGGGGAAUAUUGGACAAUGGGGGCAACCCUGAUCCAGCCAUGCCGCGUGUGUGAAGAAGGCCCUCGGGUUGUAAAGCACUUUCAGUGAGGAAGAACGCCUGGUGGUUAAUACCCAUCAGGAAAGGCAUCACUCACAGAAGAAGCACCGGCUAACUCCGUGCCAGCAGCCGCGGUAAUACGGAGGGUGCGAGCGUUAAUCGGAAUUACUGGGCGUAAAGCGCGCGUAGGUGGCUUGAUAAGCCGGUUGUGAAAGCCCCGGGCUCAACCUGGGAACGGCAUCCGGAACUGUCAAGCUAGAGUGCAGGAGAGGAAGGUAGAAUUCCCGGUGUAGCGGUGAAAUGCGUAGAGAUCGGGAGGAAUACCAGUGGCGAAGGCGGCCUUCUGGACUGACACUGACACUGAGGUGCGAAAGCGUGGGUAGCAAACAGGAUUAGAUACCCGAGUAGUC
This 465-nucleotide ribosomal RNA is filed under the name Vreelandella stevensii. RNAcentral describes it as "partial 16S ribosomal RNA". It matches the Rfam family "Bacterial small subunit ribosomal RNA", at positions 338 to 795 of the family's 1533-position model. The record is from RNAcentral. Lineage: Bacteria; Pseudomonadati; Pseudomonadota; Gammaproteobacteria; Oceanospirillales; Halomonadaceae.